CUCCUCUUCAUGUGUGAAUGGAAGAAUAAGAAGAACAAGCUAAUUAACAUCUUCUGCCCGAUAAAUCUUUCUAGGUUUCUUCUGUAUUUUGCUACCGCUGUCCAUUUCUACCCGGUUCCGAUCAGCUAUGGAGUUCUUCCACAACGCCAAGGCCGUGCGUCUCCGUAGCCACCACAACAAGUACCUCCUAGCUGACGAAGAUGAGGAAUCUGUCUCCCAAGACCGAAACGGAUCCUCCAAGAGCACUAGAUGGACUGUGGAGUCCGUCCUUGGAUCCGACACCAUAAUCCGCCUUAAGUCUUG
Molecule: unclassified non-coding RNA, 303 nt
Filed under: Hevea brasiliensis (rubber tree)
Lineage: Eukaryota; Viridiplantae; Streptophyta; Magnoliopsida; Malpighiales; Euphorbiaceae
Source: RNAcentral